This 231-nucleotide long non-coding RNA is filed under the name Elaeis guineensis (African oil palm). RNAcentral describes it as "long non-coding RNA (EGUI_LNC055852)". Lineage: Eukaryota; Viridiplantae; Streptophyta; Magnoliopsida; Arecales; Arecaceae. The record is from RNAcentral.
UCUCCCCUCCUUAAAAUAAUUUCGUCCUCGAAAUUAGGUUAUGUCGUUCGAGAUACCUAUUUCAAAGUAUACAUUCUUCAUGUCAUUCUCAAGCUUACGAUAAUGUCAUAUAUAUUAUUUAUUUCUCAUGAUCUUGUUAUAACAAAAAUUAUUUGAAAUCUCACACUCAUCCCUUCUUAUUGAUUUCUCAACUUUUUGAAGAACUGUAACAUUUUGGACUUGUAUUAAUAU